Long non-coding RNA from Gordionus sp. m RMFG-2023, 571 nucleotides. RefSeq lists it as uncharacterized. The record is from RefSeq and is a predicted model, not a curated record. NCBI's taxonomy places the organism in Eukaryota, Metazoa, Nematomorpha, Gordioida, Chordodea, Parachordodidae. The transcript has 5 exons.
CAAAUGAAAAUAAUGGUCAGAUAUUCUCCAAUGAUAGUAUAGCAAAUGUAUUAAAUGAGGAUCUUACACACUCAAACGUGGAUCCUAAUAUACAUCAAGAAAAUGAAUGUAUAAAUAAUAUCAUAAAAGAAAUUCAAUUACCUAAGAAAUUAAAUAAAAGCGGGAGACCAUUAGGAUUUACAAUAUUGGAUUCACAAAAAAGCAUACAAAUCCAAAGAAAAUCAUAUAGAUAAAAAGUUAAAAUUUCAACAAGACCUUAAUUCCCAAAACUUUGUUGACCCAAAAAUAGUUGAUACCAAAGAUUAUAAAAAAUCUUCUUUACACCUUUUGAAGGAUCUUCAAGUGGACUUAGUAGACUUUGUAUACUCAGACUCAAACCAUAGAUGACCCACUCGUUAAAAUCAUUCAACAUACAUUUAAACAUUUUUAUAAUCCAACUACCAAUAUUUGGAGGAAAUAUCAUGCUACUCGCUUAAAUUUAGCUUCAGCAAAAAAGAAAGUCUCUCAAAAUAUAGGAAGGGUGCUAACUGCUCCAUCACGAUUGGAAACAAUUGAGCUAGAUGGGAAUUGU